GAUGAACGCUGGCGGCGUGCCUAAUACAUGCAAGUCGAGCGAACAGACGAGGAGCUUGCUCCUUUGACGUUAGCGGCGGACGGGUGAGUAACACGUGGGUGACCUACCUAUAAGACUGGGAUAACUUCGGGAAACCGGAGCUAAUACCGGAUAAUAUUUCGAACCGCAUGGUUCGAUAGUGAAAGAUGGCUUUUCUAUCACUUAUAGAUGGACCUGCGCCGUAUUAGCUAGUUGGUAAGGUAACGGCUUACCAAGGCAACGAUACGUAGCCGACCUGAGAGGGUGAUCGGCCACACUGGAACUGAGACACGGUCCAGACGACUACGGGAGGGAGCAGUAGCGAAUCUUCCGCAAUGGGCGGGAGCCUUACGGAGCAACGCCGCGUGUGAUAUAACGGUCUUCGGAGCGGAAAACUCUGUUAUUAGGGAAGAACAAACGUGUAAGUAACUGUGCACGUCUUGACGGUACCUAAUCAGAAAGCCACGGCUAACUACGUG
This 497-nucleotide ribosomal RNA is filed under the name uncultured bacterium. Its description in RNAcentral is "partial 16S ribosomal RNA". It matches the Rfam family "Bacterial small subunit ribosomal RNA", at positions 28 to 507 of the family's 1533-position model. The record is from RNAcentral.